This is a long non-coding RNA of Eriocheir sinensis (Chinese mitten crab), 2018 nucleotides long. RefSeq lists it as uncharacterized. Lineage: Eukaryota; Metazoa; Arthropoda; Malacostraca; Decapoda; Varunidae. The record is from RefSeq and is a predicted model, not a curated record. The transcript is spliced from 3 exons.
AGUGACUGCUUGGGCUAUAGUUACGUAAACUUAAUAAGGAUCUUCUAUCACUUGGCAGUAAGACAUACACUAAAAAUAGACAAAGGAAGACCUCAGUUUGUUUGAUAUUACGUCAGCACACAGGAAAUGUAUUACUGCGUACAUUAAUGUAGUGACUACUUGGGUUAUAGUUACGUAAGGUUAAUAAGAAUCUCCUCACACAUGGCAGCUCUAUAAAUAUUCUAAAACUGAAGAAAGAACGAGCUCACUGUGUUAUAUAUUAAGCCUCAUCACCAAGGAAGCACAUAUGAACUUAUUUCGCACAUUAAUUUAGUGACUGCUUGGGUUAUAGUUACGUAAGGUUAAUAAGAAUCUCCUCACACAUGGCAGCCCGAUAAAUACUGAAACUGAAGAAAGAACGAGCUCACUGUUCUAUAUAAUAAUCCUCAUCACCAAGGGCAAGGAAGCACAUAUGAACUUACUUCGUACAUUAAUUUAGUGAUUGCUUGGGUUAUAGUUACGUAAGGUUAAUAAGGAUCUCGUCACACAUGGCAGCCCGAUAAAUACUGAAACUGAAGAAAGAACGAGCUCACUGUUCUAUAUAAUAAUCCUCAUCACCAAGGAAGCACGUAUGAACUUACUGAGUGUAUAAAUGUUUUGACUACUUGGGUUACAGUUAGGUAAAGUUACUAAGGUCUCACGCACAUUACAGCUAGAUAUAGAUACGAAGAAGCAGGAAAGAAUGACCUCUGUUUGUUUGAUAAUAAGUUACAUCAACGUGGAAGCUGAUAUGAAUUGACUACGUACAUACAGUAGCUGAGUUAUGGUUACUAAAGUUAAUAGGGGUUUCUCCACAUACAUAGCAAUUAUAUAUAUACGUAAAUCAACAAAGAAUGACUUAAAUUUGUUAGAUAAUUAGUCAGGAUGGAAGAAUAUACGAAUUUAACGCCUUCGUAAAUAUAGGAGGUAUAUAACUCUUUGGGUUAUACUGUGGCAGAGUUAGUAAUGGUUUCUGCACACACAUGACAUCUGGACAUAUAUACAAAAAAUCAUUAGAGAAAGACCUCAGUUUGUUAGCUAAGAGGACUAGGCUGAUUAGCGCUUAGAACACUCACUACCGCCAACGUCUACCUAACUAUACCUAUUAACUGAAGAUUUAAAGAAGAGUACGGUAAUGAUAACAUAUAUACUAAGAAUAUAAAAAAACAGACCUCAGUUUGUUAAAGACUAGCCUGACCUUACCUAACUAUAUGCCUGUUAACUGAAGAUCGAUAAGAGUAAUAAUAAUAACAUAUAAAAAAAAUGAACAAAGAAAGACCUCAGUUUGUUAGAUAGAGAUGAGACUGACCUUACCCAACUCUGCACACAAGAACAUAGGGAGUUUGCAAGAGGCCGGUAGGUUAAUUAAAGAUGAAUAAGAAGAGUAAUAAUAAUAAUAACAUAUACAAAGAAAGACCUCAGUUUGUUAGAUAGAGAUGACUGACCUUACCCAACUCUACACACAAUAACAUAGGGAGUUUGCAAGAGGCCGGUAGGUUAACUAAAGAUGAAUAAGAAGAGUAUUAAUAACAAUAACAUAUACAAAAAAAAAAUAACAAAGAAAGGUGUCAGUUUGUUAGAUAGUGAUGAGACUGACCUUACCCAAACCACACACAAGAACAUAGGGAGUUUGCAAGAGGCCGGUAGGUUAACUAAAGAUGAAUAGGUAGAGUAAUAAUAAUAAUAACACAAAAAAAUGAACAAAGAAAGACCUCAGUUUGUUAGAUAGAGAUGGAACUGACCUUACCCAACUCUGCACACAAGAACAUAGGGAGUUUGCAAGAGGCCGGUAGGUUAACUAAAAAUAAAUAAGUAGAGUAAUAAUAAUAAUAAUAAUAACAACAAAAAAUGAAGAAAGAAAGAACUCAGUUUGGUAGAUAGAGAUUGGACUGACCUUACCCAACUCUGCACUCAAGGACAUAGUGAGUUUGCAAGAGGCCGGUAGGUUAACUAAAAAUGAAUAAGUAGAGUAAUAAUAAUAAUAACAAAAAAUGAACAAA